ACCAUGUCUCAGCAGCCGCUUCGAGGGGUGACGGGCCUGCGUUUCAACCAAGACCAAAGCUGCUUUUGCUGCGCCAUGGAGACAGGUGUGCUGGUCUACAGCGUGGAGCCACUGAAGGCCAGGAGGCGCCUGGACCACCAACAGGUGGGCAGCAUUGGCCUGGUAGAGAUGCUGCACUGCUCCAACCUGUUGGCCCUGGUGGGCGGUGGUAGCAGCCCCAAGUUCUCAUCCAUCUCCGUGCUGAUCUGGGACGAUGCCCAGGAGGGCAGAGACUCCAAGGACAAACUGGUGCUAGAGUUCACCUUCCCCCAGCCAGUGCUGACUGUACGCAUGCGCCACGACAAGAUCGUGAUGGUGCUGAGAAACCGCAUCUAUGUGUACUCCUUUCCAGACAGUCCCCGGAAGCUGUUUGAGUUUGACACCCGAGACAAUCCCAGAGGACUUUGUGAACUCUGCCCCAGCCUGGAGAAGCAAUUGCUCGUGUUCCCGGGACACAAGUGUGGAAGUCUACAACUUGUGGAGCUGGCAAGCCCCAAGCCUGGCACUUCAUCCGCCCCAUUUACCAUCAAUGCCCAUCAGAGUGAUGUGGCCUGUGUGUCUCUGAAUCCGCCGGGCACGGUGGUGGCCUCGGCCUCCCAGAAAGGUACUCUUAUCCGUCUUUUUGACACCCAGUCCAAGGAGAAACUGGUGGAGCUGCGCCGAGGCAUUGACCCUGCCACCCUCUACUGCAUUAACUUCAGCCACGACUCCUCCUUCCUCUGCGCUUCCAGUGAUAAGGGCACUGUCCAUAUCUUUGCUCUCAAGGAUACCCGCCUCAACCGCCGCUCUGCGCUGGCUCGUGUGGGCAGGGUCGGCCCUAUGAUUGGGCAGUACGUGGGCCCUAUGAUCGGGCAGUACGUGGACUCCCAGUGGAGUCUGGCCAGCUUUACUGUGUCUGCUGAGUCGGCUUGCAUCUGCGCCUUUGGUCGCAGUACUUCCCAGAAUGUCAACUCUGUAAUUGCCGUCUGCGUAGAUGGGACCUUCCACAAGUAUGUCUUCACUCCUGACGGGAAGUGCAACAGAGAGGCUUUUGACGUGUACCUUGACGCCUGUGAUGAUGAUUUUUAA
Molecule: RNA transcript, 1107 nt
Organism: Dipodomys ordii (Ord's kangaroo rat)
Lineage: Eukaryota; Metazoa; Chordata; Mammalia; Rodentia; Heteromyidae
Gene name: WD repeat domain phosphoinositide-interacting protein 4 pseudogene
Exons: 1
Source: RefSeq, a predicted model, not a curated record